AUACGGAGGAUGCGAGCGUUAUCCGGAUUUAUUGGGUUUAAAGGGUGCGUAGGCGGCCUUGUAAGUCAGCGGUGAAAUUUUGCAGCUUAACAGUAAAAGUGCCGUUGAUACUGUGAGGCUAGGAUUUGGUUGCUGUGGGUGGAAUGUGUGGUGUAGCGGUGAAAUGCUUAGAGAUCACACAGAAUAUCGAUUGCGAAGGCAGCUCACAAAGCCAAGAUUGACGCUGAGGCACGAAAGUGUGGGGAUCAAACAGGAUUAGAUACCCUGGUAGUCCACACUGUAAACGAUGAUAACUCGCUGUCGGCGAUAUACAGUCGGUGGCCAAGCGAAAGCGAUAAGUUAUCCACCUGGGGAGUACGACCGCAAGGUUGAAACUCAAAGGAAUUGACGGGG
This 393-nucleotide ribosomal RNA is filed under the name uncultured bacterium. RNAcentral's name for it is "partial 16S ribosomal RNA". It matches the Rfam family "Bacterial small subunit ribosomal RNA", at positions 523 to 918 of the family's 1533-position model. The record is from RNAcentral.